Molecule: long non-coding RNA, 1144 nt
Filed under: Brassica rapa (field mustard)
Lineage: Eukaryota; Viridiplantae; Streptophyta; Magnoliopsida; Brassicales; Brassicaceae
Description: long non-coding RNA (BRAP_LNC007703)
Source: RNAcentral
ACCAAUAUCGGAAAUGGCGAACAUACACGAGAAGAGGAAAGGGAAAUGAUCAAGCAAAACUGAGAAGAGACAAAACUGCAUCUUCGAGAGAACUAAGGUAUUUCCGACUUGAAAUUUUUGAAAUCAGACUUGGAAUUUUCGUAGGAAAUUACUUAGAGGCUGCCAUAGAACUUUAGGGAACGUAAAACCUAGGCGGAUAGUCUAGUGAACUAAGUCUUAAGCGAUUUUUCCUGUCUCGAUAUAUUGUUCCAUAAUUGUUCAUCCAGAUCUUGCAAACCGAUUUAAACUCUCCGAAAAUCGAGAAACGAUCGCCUCUCAUAUCAAGCUCGCUUCCUAAAGAGAGAAAAAACUAGAGACAUGAACGUCGUCUUAAAACCGAUUCGUUUCUGGCAAUUUUCUCGGAACCGACAUAUUCCAAGUCGUCAACGUGGAAACAACCAAAUCACAGUCCAAGCGUCGUCUAAAUCAUCCCGAAUUAUCGAUCAUUCCAAACCUCAGAAGAAGAAACGUACACAACCCUUCAAAGUAUCGGUUCAACCGUUUUCUUUCGUAAAAAAAAAAAAAAAAAAAGGGAGUAGGUACGUAUACUAUACUUGUAUACUCCCAAACUUCAAAAACUUCUGCAAAUCGUCAAGAAUAGGCAAAAACGACAAUCUAAUAUUCGUCUAAACACUAGCAACAUAUCCAGACGAUCAUGAACAUAAAUCUCAAAGACUAUACAUCAUUUCUUGUCGCAAUCAUGCGUACAGAAAACCUGUACCAAUACCAAACUGAAACUCGACGAUUAGCCAAAGUCUUGAAGCCCUUUCCGGCUUUAGAAAGCCAGUUUCGUUUAAAAAUUUCUACGAGAAAAUCACCAAAGCAUUUCUUUCAGUUUCCGUUGAACCAAGCAAGUCACGGAAAAGCAUCGAAAACAUUUGCGACAAAGAAAACUCGAGAAUAGAUGUAGCAUCGUGCACAUUAAAGGGAGCACUUUCCUCCCGAUGGUUAGCUAGAUCAACCUCUGAUUGCCAAUUCGUUCAAGAAACGAAUGUGUUAUGAGAAUCCUCUCAAAAAACCUAUGAAAAACGUUCUGCAACUAGAUCGUAUUAAACUUUGGUAACACUCCAUGUGUAACUCCAAGCAACUUCGCCUAAGAUCAAAA